Molecule: unclassified non-coding RNA, 351 nt
Filed under: uncultured fungus
Lineage: Eukaryota; Fungi
Description: partial contains 5.8S ribosomal RNA and internal transcribed spacer 2
Rfam family: 5.8S ribosomal RNA (bases 1-133)
Source: RNAcentral
UGGUUCUGGCAUCGAUGAAGAACGCAGCAAAAUGCGAUAAGUAAUGUGAAUUGCAGAAUUCAGUGAAUCAUCGAAUCUUUGAACGCACAUUGCGCCCCGUGGUAUUCCGCGGGGCAUGCCUGUUCGAGCGUCGGUUAGAUCCCCUCUCCCUACGCUUCAGAGCAUUAGGGGGGCCUUGAGCGUGAGUUUCCUCUAGUAGGAAACGCUCUCAACGUGUUGGCGGCAGUGUUGCGCCUCAGACGUAACGGAUUAAAGCGUCUAGAGGCCAACAUCUGUUCGCCCUCGGCGGAGGGGUAGAAGCCUCUGUCUACACUAUGUUCUGACCUCGGAUCAGGUAGGGAUACCCGCUGA